RNAcentral lists this ribosomal RNA (119 nucleotides) under Lepisosteus oculatus (spotted gar). Lineage: Eukaryota; Metazoa; Chordata; Actinopteri; Semionotiformes; Lepisosteidae. The record is from RNAcentral.
AGCAGCAGCCAUAUCAUCCUGGAACUCACAACUGGCAACCCACUGAAGCUAAGCAGGUGUGAGCCUGGUCAGUACCUGGAUGGGAGAACUCCUGGGAAAAACUAAGGUUGGUGCUGNNN